This 464-nucleotide ribosomal RNA is filed under the name uncultured bacterium. Its description in RNAcentral is "partial 16S ribosomal RNA". It matches the Rfam family "Bacterial small subunit ribosomal RNA", at positions 339 to 795 of the family's 1533-position model. The record is from RNAcentral.
CUACGGGGCGCUGCAGUGGUGAAUAUUGGACAAUGGGGGAAACCCUGAUCCAGCAAUGCCGCGUGUGUGAAGAAGGCCUGCGGGUUGUAAAGCACUUUCGGUUGGGAGGACUGCUUCUAGCACUAAUAUUGUUGGAAGUUGACGUUACCUUCAGAAGAAGCACCGGCUAACUCCGUGCCAGCAGCCGCGGUAAUACGGAGGGUGCAAGCGUAAUCGGAAUUACUGGGCGUAAAGCGCGCGUAGGCGGCUAGAUCAGUCGGGUGUGAAAGCCCCGGGCUUAACCUGGGAACUGCAUCCGAUACUGUCUAGCUUGAGUACAGGAGAGGAGAGUGGAAUUCCACAUGUAGCGGUGAAAUGCGUAGAUAUGUGGAGGAACACCAAUGGCGAAGGCAGCUCUCUGGCCUGAUACUGACGCUGAGGUGCGAAAGCGUGGGGAGCAAACAGGAUUAGAUACCCGCGUAGUC